CCCAUUUCCUGACCAUCCUCUGCUCUGAGAGGUUCUCUUCUGUCUCUUUGUCUUUCUGACCCCGUCCCUCCCAGGGCUUUGUUUUCACUCAGGACAACAGCCUGCUACAUCCUGGCCCCGCGGCAUGGACUCCCGGCAGCCCUGAGCCCCAGCACACAGGUUGAGGGCUGGCGGUUCAGAGAGCACAGCCAGCUGCACGGGUGGCCUGCCCUCCUCCCAGCCCCUUAUCAUCAGCAUCCGAGGAUUGGAAGGGCUCUUGGCGAUCACAUGAUGUGAAAUCUACCCAUCCCCGUUUUUUAGAAGAGAAAACGGAGGCCAGAGAGAUCGGGGGCAUCAGAGGGAGCAAGGUGGAGGCCAACAAAACAAACAGACCUUUCAAUAUUGACUCUCCCGGGCUCCACAGAAGGCUAUCAUCUGUCCUGCCUCCCAGAGCCUCGCCAGCAAAGGCGAAACCAAACAAGAUGGUCAGAGCGUGAGAGGGCUGGGCACGCUGCCCAUGAAGCAGACUCCAGAAGCGAUGGCCCUGGGUUUCCACACUGUCCACCUUUCUCCUGCUGGAUCAGCUGGCCUUGGUGGGAAGGAGACAUUUUCUCUAAGAUCUCAGGGCCCAAUUCAGGUUGCAUGAUCAUCACUGGGCUUGAAAAAGAAAAGAAGGUAGGGAAAUAAAGGCUCCUUGGGGAUGCCUCUGAAAGCCACAGGCUUCCUCUAGAGAAUUCACAAACCUAGAGUCCUUUAGAGCGGGACAAGUAAGAUUUCACUUCCUUGUGAGCCAUGACUUUUUACUCUCUCCAGCAGCAAGAGUGGACUUCAUCACUCAGAUGGUGUCAUGGUUAAAGAACCAGAAGAGAGCUAAAAGCAGUGCCAACCCCAUGAUCGUAGACGAUGUAACUAUGGUCCAGGAUGACUUGAUCAAAGCUGUGGGGACGGGAUUCCUCCUGGGCUCCACUGUAGGACUGCAUCCGGUCCCCAGGUCUUGAAAGUGGCCUCUCAGGGACUUCCCCCGUGGUCCAGUGGCUGAGACGCCACACUCCCAAGGCAGGGGGCCUGGCUUCGAUCCCUGGUCAGGGACGUAUUAACAGAUUCCGCAAACUGCGACUAGAGAGCCCACGUGGUUCUGUGGAGACCCUGCAUGCCAAAACCAAGACCAGGCGCAGCCAAAUAGAUGAAGAAACGCUGUCUUUCCGUGGUGUACAUGUACUGCAACUUAGAUAUAGUGUAUUAACAUGGAUAAAUGGAAUCCAGAAAGAUGGUACUGAUGGACAUAUUCACAGGGCAGCGGACAUAGAGAACAGUCUUGUCGGAAGGAGAGGGUGGAACAAACGGAGAGCUUAGCGUGGAAACACACACACUACCGCGUGUAAAAUAGACAGCCAGGGGAAUGUGCUGUAUGAUGCAGGGGGCGCAACCUCAUGCUCUGUGACAACCCA
Cervus elaphus (red deer) is the source of this 1427-nucleotide long non-coding RNA. RefSeq lists it as uncharacterized. The record is from RefSeq and is a predicted model, not a curated record. The transcript is spliced from 3 exons. Lineage: Eukaryota; Metazoa; Chordata; Mammalia; Artiodactyla; Cervidae.